UCCGGUUUGGCACCGGCUGUCCUCCGUUGUCUAGCCCGGGUAAGGUUCUUCGCGUUGCGUCGAAUUGAACCACAUGCUCCACCGCUUGUGCGGGCCCCCGUCAAUUCCUUUGAGUUUUAACCUUGCGGCCGUAGUCCCCAGGCGGGGCACUUAAUGCGUUAGCUGCGGCACCGCAGGGGUCAAUACCCGCGACACCUAGUGCCCAUCGUUUACAGCGUGGACUAC
This 225-nucleotide unclassified non-coding RNA is filed under the name uncultured delta proteobacterium. Its description in RNAcentral is "contains 16S-23S intergenic spacer region". The record is from RNAcentral. Lineage: Bacteria; Deltaproteobacteria.